CUUCCUGGGGUUCUAAGGUAGCAGCUCUUCUCAUUCUCCUGAACAUCUUCUUCUUCUCUUGUGUCUCAUGUAAUGGGGUUCCAUGCCCCCCCAGUACGCCUCCAGCUCCCACUGUCCCAAAGUCUCCUCCGAAGAAACCAGCUCCCACUGUCCCAACGCCUCCUCCGAAGAAAUCAGCUAAGUGCCCAAAAGAUACCCUUAAGUUUGGGGCGUGUGCCAACUGGCUAGGAUUGGUGGGGGAGGUUGUUGGGACUCCACCUAGCAGCAAAUGUUGUGCACUGGUGGCGGGUCUGGCUGAUCUUGAAGCUGCAUUGUGCUUUUGCACUGCAAUUAAGGCCAAUGUGUUGGGGGCUAUCA
This 357-nucleotide long non-coding RNA is filed under the name Vitis vinifera (wine grape). RNAcentral describes it as "long non-coding RNA (VVIN_LNC005167)". The record is from RNAcentral. Lineage: Eukaryota; Viridiplantae; Streptophyta; Magnoliopsida; Vitales; Vitaceae.